CCUACGGGAGGCAGCAGUGGGGGAUAUUGGACAAUGGGGGAAACCCUGAUCCAGCGACGCCGCGUGAGUGAAGAAGUAUUUCGGUAUGUAAAGCUCUGUCAGCAGGGAAGAAAGAAAUGACGGUACCUGACCAAGAAGCCCCGGCUAACUACGUGCCAGCAGCCGCGGUAAUACGUAGGGGGCAAGCGUGAUCCGGUAUGACUGGGUGUAAAGGGGGAGUAGACGGCGAUGCAAGUCUGUAGAGAAAGGCGGGGGCCCAACCCCCGGACUGCUCUGGAAACUGUGUAACUUGAGUGCAGGAGAGGUAAGCGGAAUUCCUAGUGUAGCGGUGAAAUGCGUAGAUAUCAGGAGGAACACCGGCGGCGAAGGCGGCCUGCUGGACUGAAACUGACGUUGAGGCUCGAAAGCGUGGGGAGCAAACAGGAUUAGAUACCCGUGUAGUC
RNAcentral lists this ribosomal RNA (443 nucleotides) under uncultured bacterium. RNAcentral describes it as "partial 16S ribosomal RNA". It matches the Rfam family "Bacterial small subunit ribosomal RNA", at positions 338 to 795 of the family's 1533-position model. The record is from RNAcentral.